This 337-nucleotide ribosomal RNA is filed under the name uncultured bacterium. RNAcentral's name for it is "bacterial SSU rRNA". It matches the Rfam family "Bacterial small subunit ribosomal RNA", at positions 18 to 344 of the family's 1533-position model. The record is from RNAcentral.
CAUGGCUCAGGAUGAACGCUAGCUAUAGGCUUAACACAUGCAAGUCGAGGGGAAACGGCAUUAUGUGCUUGCACAUUUUGGACGUCGACCGGCGCACGGGUGAGUAUCGCGUAUCCAACCUGCCCUUUACUUGGGGAUACCCCGUUGAAAGACGGCCUAAUACCCGAUGUAAUUCAUUGAUGGCAUCAGAUAUGAAUAAAAGAUUUAUCGGUAAAGGAUGGGGAUGCGUCUGAUUAGCUUGUUGGUGAGGUAAAGGCUCACCAAGGCAACGAUCAGUAGGGGUUCUGAGAGGAAGGUCCCCCACAUUGGAACUGAGACACGGUCCAAACUCCUACGG